CAGCAGCCGCGGUAAUACGAAGGGUGCAAGCGUUACUCGGAAUUACUGGGCGUAAAGCGUGCGUAGGUGGUGGUUUAAGUCCGUUGUGAAAGCCCUGGGCUCAACCUGGGAAUUGCAGUGGAUACUGGGUCACUAGAGUGUGGUAGAGGAUAGUGGAAUUUCCGGUGUAGCAGUGAAAUGCGUAGAGAUCGGAAGGAACAUCUGUGGCGAAGGCGACUAUCUGGGCCAACACUGACACUGAGGCACGAAAGCGUGGGAAGCAAACAGGAUUUGAGACCCCUGUAGUCCCUGUCUCUUAUAC
RNAcentral lists this ribosomal RNA (301 nucleotides) under uncultured bacterium. RNAcentral describes it as "partial 16S ribosomal RNA". It matches the Rfam family "Bacterial small subunit ribosomal RNA", at positions 509 to 807 of the family's 1533-position model. The record is from RNAcentral.